RNAcentral lists this ribosomal RNA (594 nucleotides) under uncultured bacterium. RNAcentral's name for it is "bacterial SSU rRNA". It matches the Rfam family "Bacterial small subunit ribosomal RNA", at positions 8 to 589 of the family's 1533-position model. The record is from RNAcentral.
AGAGUUUGAUUCUGGCUCAGGAUGAACGCUAGCGACAGGCUUAACACAUGCAAGUCGAGGGGCAGCGGGGGAGUAGCAAUACUCCCGCCGGCGACCGGCGCACGGGUGAGUAACACGUAUGAAACCUGCCCGUAGCAGGGGGAUAAGCGGAAGAAAUUCCGUCUAAUACCGCGUAACAACCCUUGGAGGCAUCUCCUCGGGUUUAAAGGAAGCGAUUCCGGCUACGGAUGGUCAUGCGUCGCAUUAGCUUGUUGGCGGGGUAACGGCCCACCAAGGCGACGAUGCGUAGGGGUUCUGAGAGGAAGGUCCCCCACACUGGUACUGAGACACGGACCAGACUCCUACGGGAGGCAGCAGUGAGGAAUAUUGGUCAAUGGCCGCAGGGCUGAACCAGCCAAGUCGCGUGAGGGAUGACGGUCCUGUGGAUUGUAAACCUCUUUUGUCAGGGAGCAAAGGGCGUCACGUGUGGCGCUUUGCGAGUACCUGAAGAAAAAGCAUCGGCUAACUCCGUGCCAGCAGCCGCGGUAAUACGGAGGAUGCGAGCGUUAUCCGGAUUUAUUGGGUUUAAAGGGUGCGCAGGCGGAAUGUCAAGUC